Molecule: RNA transcript, 13713 nt
Organism: Pan troglodytes (chimpanzee)
Lineage: Eukaryota; Metazoa; Chordata; Mammalia; Primates; Hominidae
Gene: UBAP1L
Gene name: ubiquitin associated protein 1 like
Exons: 5
Source: RefSeq, a predicted model, not a curated record
UUAACCCAAUAAUCAUAAAAAAUAUGCUGAGUGCUUUGAAAGAAAGACAUGGUUCUGAGAUUAUGAAUUAGGAUUUUUCUUCAAAAGCGUUCUGUGACACAUUUAGUUGAAAUAAUAGGAAAUAUGUAUCAUAUAGUAAGGGUAAGAAUCAUUAUUCAGUUUACAUAUGUGUAUGCUAGGAAAUAAAAGUAUACUAUGGGUCAUAGUUAAAAAAAAAAAAAAAAGGCUGGGCGCGGUGGCUCAUGCCUGUAAUCCCAGCACUUUGCGAGCCCAAGGCAGGUGGAUCACAAGGUCAGGAGUUCAAGACCAGCCUGGCCAAGAUGGUGAAACCCUAUCUCUAUUAAAAAUACAAAAAUUAGCAGGCGUGGUGGCAGGUGCUUGUAAUCCCAGCUACUCGGGAGGCUGAGGCAGGAGAAUCUAUUGAACCUGGGAGGCAGAGAUUGCAGUGAGCUGAGAUCGAGCCACUGCACUCUAGCCUGGGCAACAGAGCAAGACUUCAUCUCAAAAAAGUAAAAAAUAAAAAACUUCGUAAAGGCUACUGUGCUAGGUAGACCUGACCAAGUUUGAGAGUCAGGGCAAGCUUUUUUGAGGAAGUGAUGUUUCAGCUGAGCUCUGAAAAAUGAACAGCUUUUUCUUUUCUUUUUUUUUUAUUCUUGAGACAGACUCUCGCUUUGUCGCCCAGGCUGGAGUGCAGUGGCGUGAUCUUGGUUCACUGCAACCUUCGCCUCCCAGGUUCAAGCAGUUCUCUCGUCUCAGUCUCCUGAGUAGCUGGGAGUACAGGCGUGUGCCACUACACCAGGCUAAUUUUUGUAUUUUUAGUAAAGAGGGGGUUUUGCCAUGUUGGCCAGGCAGGUCUCGAACUCCUGACCUCAAGUGAUUUGCCCACCUUGGCCUCCCAAAGUGCUGGGAUUACAGGUGUGAGCCACUGUGCCCGGCAUUUGAGCAGCUUUUAAUUAAUUGUGGGGAAGCAACAGGGAAGAACUUAGCCAGUAUCCAGAACAGGAUAUGCAAAGCUUCUGUGGGGACUGAGAGACCAUGGCAGUUGAAGGCUAGCAUGACUGGAGUAAGAUGGGAGGAGAGGAAACGGGCCAGACACUGCAAGCCUUCAGAAGUUUAAUUUUUAUUUUGAAAACAGCCAGGAACCAUUGAAGAGUUUUAAGUAGGAGAGUGCCUUAGUUUUGUUUCGUUUUGUUUUCUAAAGAAGGGGUCUUGCUAUGUUACCCAGGCUGGUCUUUAACUCCCGGGCUCCAGCAAUCCUCCCACCUCUGCCUCCCAAAUUGUUGGGAUUACAGGCAUGAGCCACCGUGCCCAGCCAGGAGUGGCUUAGUUUUGGUUUUGAAAUGGUCAUUCUUGCCUCAGUGUGUGGAACAGAAUUAUAAUAAUAAAGCAUGUGAGGAUACAUGGAGAUGAGUGGUCCAGGUGAGAGAUAAUGGGGGCUUGGAUUCCCAUGGAAGCAGUGGAGGUAGCCUGAAAUGGCUGGAUUCCAGAGAUUUAGGAGAUAAAAAUUCACAGGAAAUUUGAGAUGGUGGUGGUAAAGGAGAGGAAAGUAUCAGAGAUGAGUACUCGUGCACCUGGAUCAAUGUUACCAUUCCUUGAGACAAGGAACCCUGGGGGCGAGGAGCAGUUUGGGGAAGGGAAAAAUCAGUCCACUUUGAUACGUUGAGUUUGAGAAGUCUUGAGACACUGUGUAGGCAGUUGUGUUUAUGAGUUUGAUCUCAGAAGAGAACUGGAGAAUUUAAUUUGUGAAUCAUUGGCAGGUAAUUGAAGCUCUGGGCAAGAAUAAAGUCAUUUAGAGAGUAUAGUGAAGACCUUUGGAAACAAUACUAAUGUCAUUGCCUGGGCCCCACUUAAAUCAAUCAGUGCCACCUUCACCCAUCCCACUCCCCAUCCCCAUGCCCAGAUCCAAGCACAUGGGCACCACCUCAUGGGCUAGUGUUUGAGAGGUCCUGGCUUACAGUUUGUCCAAGCAUGCACAGCCUGGCUUUCCUAACAUUCCCACAUCCCUACUCCAUUCCACCACCUCAGGCCUCUUCCACACUUUGCCCAUUACCUGCUGAAUGGAGUCAGCACUCAGCCUGAAGUUCAUAGUUCUCCCCAGCUCUACCCCAGUCUACCCUUUCAAUUUUACUUUGUACUGCUUCCCAGCACAGACCAUCUGCUUAAGUCCAGCAACUUGUCACUUCUCUCCACCCUGCAGAUUCCUCUGCUCUCUUGCUCACAGGCUGUUCUUUCACCUUCCAGGGUCAAGGUCAAGUCCCAUCUACUUCCUGAAGCUUCUCCAAUGCCCAUAAGGACUAGACCACUCCCCUUCCUUUGGAGAAUAUUAUUACAUAAUGAUCUGUACCUCUCAUGUUGUACCUAGUGAGGUGACCCUCGUUUUAGAAUAUUUUCUAACUAGGCAAUAUCGAUAUCUUUACUGUAGCCCUUGCCAUUCUUAAGAGAUACAGGGCCGGGCAUGGUGGCAGGCGCCUGUAGUCCCAGCUACUCAGGAGGCUGAGGCAGGAGAAUCGCUUGAACCCGGGGGAUGGAGCUUGCAGUGAGCCCAGAUCACGCCACUGCACUCCAACCUGGGUGACAGAGCAAGACUCUGCCUAAAAAAGAAAAAAAAAGAGAUAUAGGCUGGGCAUGGUGGCUCACACCUGCAAUCUCAGCACUUUGGGAAGUCAAGUCGGGUGGAUCACCUGAGGUCAGGAGUUCGAGACCAGCCUGACCAGUAUGGCGAAACCCCACCUCUACUACAGAUACAAAAAUUAGCCAGGCGUGGUGGUGGGUGCCUGUAAUCCCAGCUACUCAGGAGGCUGAGACAGGAGAAUCGCUUGAACCUGGGAGGCAGACGUUGCCGUGAGCCUAGAAGAUUGCACUACUGCACUCCAGCCUGGGAGACAGAGCGAGAGUCCAUCUCAAAAAAGAAAAAAAAAGAUAUGUUCCCCAAAUCCUCAGUAUCCUAGAAGCAAGUGUAGGACUGAGUAGAAAAUACCUAUUAGGAUGCAGAUGCUGGGCGGAAGAUGGAGAGAAGGGUGCCCUAUACCUGCUAAGUGGACAGAUAGUCUCAAUAGAACUGUGUCCCUUCCCUGGAGAUAGCUCAAAAUUCAGAUGAUACCUGAAAAUGUGAAUAAUAAAUCUGAGAAUGCCAAAACUUGCUGACCUUUCCUGUGUCUCCUAUAACACCCUUGUACCUCAAAGGUCCCCUGUAAGAACUGGCUGAUGGGGCAGAUAAUUUACUGGUUACAGUGGGACCUUCCUGAUUCUGUAUGGAAGGUAGCACAGAGAGCUACCUCCUGCUGUGCAGGGAGACCAGCUCUAGGCAUGGAGUGGAGAAACCUUUUGAGUCUUAUAUACAGCAAGACACUAACAAGAGUUGACAAAUGGGGCAGGAGAUGAGGGAAUUAAGGGAUUUGCCUACCUGCCUUCAUCUGACCUCUCUGCACUCAGAUUAUCCACCCUACCUCUCCACAUGAUGCUCUCAUGGGAAGGGGAUGACUGUAGUGACCCCUAGCAGGGCAGGGAUGACAGAUUGUGUUGAGCCAGAGGCACUUCCUGCUGCAGACUCCCUGAUAAUCCCUGAUUGUUUGCAAAAAGGCAGACUGCAGUCAAGGAGUCUAGAUUCAAGUGUAUUAUUAUAGGCAGUCGUGAGCUUAAAUUCUGUGUGAAUGAGUUUGUUCUUUUUCUUUUCUUUUUUUUUCUUUUUUUUUUUUUUUUUUGAGACAGAGUCUCACUCUGUCGCCCAGGCUGGAGUGCAGUGGUGCCAUCUCGGCUCACCUCAACCUCCGCCUCCUGGGUUCAAGCAAUUCUCCUGCCUCAGCCUCCCACGUACCUGGGACUACAGGCACGUGCCACCAUGCCCAGCUAUGUUUUUUUUUGUAUUUUUAGUUGAGACGGGGUUUCACCAUGUUGGCCAGGCUGGUCUUGAACUCCUGACCUCAGGUGAUCCACCCGCCUCGGCCUCCCAAAGUGCUGGGAUUAGAGGUAUUAGCCACCACGCCCGGCCAAGUUUUUUUUGUUUGUUUUGUUUUGUUUUUUGGAGACAGAGUCUCACUCUGUCACCAGGCUGGAGUGCAGUGGCACGAUUUCAGCUCACUGCAAUUUCCGCCUCCCUGGUUCAAGCGAUUCUCCUGCCUCAGCUUCCUGAGUAGCUGGGACUACAGGCACGCACCACCACGCCCAGCUAAUUUUUGUGUUUUUAGUAGAGACGGGGUUUCACCGUGUUGGCCAGGAUGGUCUCAAUCUCUUGACCUUGUGAUCUGCCCGCCUCAGCCUCCCAAAGUGCUGGGAUUACAGGCGUGAGCCACCGCGCCCGGCCGAUUUUGUUCUUUUUUAAAGGCAACAGACUCAAUGUAGUUUAAAAUACAUCAAAAAUUAAAUUCCUGGCUGUUGUAUUGCUAAACGAAGGACAGAUACUAGUCUUGAUCUAACCCAAAAAGCCAAGAAGUGAUGUGUGAAUGAGUUCUUAAUUCUUGGCUUUUAGGUUUAGUAGAUACUGUUGACUAAGUGACUUUCUGACCAACAGUGAAUGAGAGUUAUAGAUGUUCCACAUCCUCAUCAUCGCUUGAUAUUGUGAAGCUUUUUAAUUUUAACCUUAAAUUAAUGGUUGUAUGUUUGUGUAGUGAUAUCUCAUUGUUUUAUUUUGCAUUCCCCUGAUGACUAAUGAAGUUAAACAACUUAUCAUAUUGGCUAUUUGGAUAUCCUCUUUUGUAAAGUGCAUAUUAAAAAUCUCUUGCCCAUUUCUUAUUGUUUAUAGAAGUUCUUUGUAUAUACUGGAUAUGAGUGCUUUGUCAUAUAGAUUUGUUGCAAAUAUCUUCUCCCACUCUGUGAUUUGUUUUUGUUUUUGUUUUAACUCUCUUCAUGGUAUAUUCUGAUGAAUGGAAGUUUUUUUGUUUUUUGUUUUUUUUGAGACAGAUUCUCGCUCUGUCACCCAGGCUGGAGUGCAGUGGCGUGAUCUCGGCUCACUGCAAGCUCCACCUCCUGGGUUCAUGCCAUUCUCCUGCCUCAGCCUCCUGAGUAGCUGGGACUACAGGCGCCCACCACUAUGCCCAGCUAAUUUUUUGUAUUUUUAGUAGAGACGGGGUUUCACAAUGUUAGCCAGGAUGGUCUCGAUCUCCUGACCUUGUGAUCCGCCCGCCUCGGCCUCCAAAGUGCUGGGAUUACAGGUGUGAGCCACCACGCCCGGCCAAAUGGAAGUUCUUAACUUUUUUUUCUUUCUUUUUUUUUUUUUUUGAGACAGAGUCUCGCUCUGUCACCUAGGCUGGAGUACAGUGGUGUGAUCUUGGCUCACUGCAACCUCUGUCUCCCAGGUUCAAGCGAUUCUCCUGCCUCAGCCUCCCUAGUAGCUGAGAUUACAGACGUGUGCCACCACGCCUGGCUAAUUUUUGUAUGUUUAGUAGAAACAGGGUUUCACCAUGUUGGCCAGGAUGGUCUCGAUCUCCCAACCUCAAGCGAUCUGCCUGCCUUAGCCUCCCAAAGUGCUGGGAUUACAGGUGUGAGCCACUGCACCUGGCGGAAGUUCUUAACUUUAAUGUAAUCCAGUUUAUCAGAAUUUUCCUUCAUGGUUAGUCUCUUUUGGAGUUGUUGUUGUUGUGUUUUUUUAAAUUUAAUUUAAUUAAUUAAUUUAUUUAUUUGAGACAGUGUCUCAUUUUGUUGCCCAGGCUGGAGUGCAACCUGGGCUCACAGCUCACUCAUCUUACUGCAGCCUCAUCCUCCCAGGCUUAAGCAAUCCUCCUACUUCAGCCUCCCGAGUAGCUGGGGCUACAGGUGUAUGCCACCAUACCUGGCUAGUUUUGUAUUUUUUGUAGAGAUAGGGGUCUUGCUUUGUUGCCCAUGCUCAUCUCAAUCUCCUGGCCUCAACUGAUCCUCCUGCCUGGGCCUCUCAAAGUGCUGGGAUUAUAGGCAUGAGCCAACGUGCCUGGCCCGUUAGCCCUUUUGUAACUUAAGAAAUGUUUUGACUAUUGCAAGGCCAUGAAUAUAGUCUUUCAUUUUUAUCUUUGAGUUUUAUUAUUUUACCUUUUACAUUUAAAUCUACAGUCCACCUGGAAUUGAUUUUUAGGUAUGACAUGAGGUAGAGGUCAAUAUUGUUUUUGUUUUUUUUUUCCCCAGAUGGAUAUCAAAUUAAUCCAGAACAAUUUAUUUAAAAGACUUUCCCUUUCCAGCUGUUCUACAGAGCCAAUUUUGUCAUAAGUCAAAGAUUCAUGUGUGGAUAUGUUUCUGGACUUUCUUUUUUGUCCUGUUGGUCUCUUUGUAAGUCUUUAAGUCACUCUCUUCAUUCUCAUAACUUGAAGGUCUUGCUAUCUGAUAGUGAAAGUCUUCCACUGUGUUGCUUCUCCAAGAGUCUCUUGGCUUUUCCUGGUCCUUUGCAUUUCAUUUAAUUUUAGAAUUAGCUUGCCAAUUUCUACCAAAAAAAAAAGUGAUGGAAUUUUGAUACAUGGGAUGAAUAAAUUAAUUGGAGGAGAACUGCUAUCUUUACAAGAUUCAGUUUUACAAUCCUUGAACGUGGUAUGUUCCUCCAUUUAACCAAAUGUUUUAUAGUUUUCCGUGUAGCGGUCUCAUACAUCUUGUGUUAGAUUUAGUCCUAGAGAACUAUACUAAUAUAAAUGAUAACUUUUUAAAUUUUCCUUUUUUUUUUUUUUUUUUUUUUUUGAGACAGCAUUUCCUUCUUGUUGCCCAGGCUGGAGUGCAAUUGUGUGAUCUUGGCUCACUGCAACCUCUGCCUCCCGGAUUCAAGCGAUUCUCCUGCCUCAGUCUCCCAAGUAGCUGGGAUUACAGGCACCCACCACCAUGCCCAGCUAAUUUUUGUAUUUUUAGUAGAGACGGGGUUUCACCAUGUUGGCCAGACUGGUCUCCAACUCCUGACCUCAAGAUAAUCCUCCCACCUCGACUUCCCCAAGUGCUGGGAUUUGGGAUUACAGGUGUGAGCCACUGCACCUGGCCUAAAAUGUUCCAUUUCUAAUAAAAUUUUUAGAAGAGUCCAUUUACAUGAUUUACUAUUUAUAUAGAGAGAUGUAAUUCCUUUUUUUUUCCUUUUUCUUUUUUCUUUUUUUUUUUUUGAGACAGCAUCUUGCUCCGUUGUCAGGCUGGAGUGCAGCAGCAUGAUCUCGGCCACUGUGUGAUGUGUUAGAGAUACUCUUUAUUAGUUAAGAAAAUUCCCUUCUCUUCCUAAGUUGCUGAAAGGGUAUGGGUAUUGAUUUUGUCAUGUUUUUUUCUGCAUCUAUGAAGCUAUAUAAUUAUAUAAUUUUUCAUCUUUAUUGAUAUUUAUCUUUAUUCCCAUUUAUUGAUUUGGGGAUGUUAAGUCAAUCUGUCUUUCCUGAAAUAAACUUAACUUGACAGUGUUAUUCUACCCAUAAUUAUUUUUAAGAUUCUUUUUGCAUCUGUGUUCAUGUGAGAUUGGUUUCUAAUUUUCUUAUCAAGUUUGGUAUCAAGGUUAUGCUAAAAAUCAGCUGGGUGCAGUGGCUCACGCCUGUAAUCCCAGCAUUUUGGGAGGCUGAGGUGGCCAGAUCACCUAAGGCCGGGAGUUUGAGACCAGCCUGGCCAACGUGGUGAAACCCCGUCUCUACUAAAAAUACAAAAAUUAGCUGGGUGUGGUGGCACAAGCCUGUAAUUCCAGCUACUUGGGAGGCUGAGGUAGGAGAAUCACUUGAACCCAGGAGCUGGAGGUUGCAGUGAGGCAAGAUCAGGCUACUGCACUCCAGCCUGGGUGACAGAGCGAGACUUCGUCCCAGAAAAAGAAAAAAAAAAAAGGUUAUGCUAAAAUCAAAAUGAGUUAGAAAGUAUUUCUUAUUUUCUUCUUCCCUGGAAGAGUUUAUGUAAAUUAAUGCUGUUUGUUUCUUAAACAUUUGGGUGACAAUUAUUUUGAUGAAAUGCAUUAGAACUAGUUUUGUGGACCAUGUUUUGGAAAACAAUGGUCUAGAGCAUGACUGAAAUAUGAAAUAGUGAAUUCCUGUCCGUGUGAAUGCUCUUGUUUUUAUUCAUUUCCUUCCUUUAUGCAGCACUGGCCCCCUCACCUUUUCCUUUCCAGCUGUUUGGGGCUCAGCUAAGUGACCACACAGGAGAGCAGUGAGGCCAUUUGAGGCCUGAGCCUGGUCCUCAGGACUCGACUCUCUCACCCUGCCCUCAAGCAGCCUGCCCCAGCCCUGCCAGCCAUCUCCACACUCCUGACAGAAUGAAUGCCCUCGAUGGUGUUCCCUUCAAGUUGCCCAAGGGCUUUGUGAUAGGCACAGAGCCUCUCCCUGGGCCAGAACUCAGCGUCCCGGCCUGCGGGGAGGUUCUGCUGGGUUCUAUGCACGACUUCAGCCUGGAGAGGACGGCACUCUUCUGGGUGGAGGCCGCCGGCCAGGGACCCAGCCCGUACCAGUGCGGUGACCCGGGGACAGCGUCAGCCCCUCCAGCCUGGCUCUUGCUAGUCAGCACCGAACAUGGGCUGGCGCCUGCGCCCACCACAAUCAGAGACCCGGAGGCCGGACACCAGGAGAGGCCGGAGGAGGAGGGUGAGGACGAGGCAGAAGCCUCCUCUGGCAGCGAGGAAGAGCCGGCCCCCAGCAGCCUCCAACCGGGCUCCCCGGCGAGCCCCGGCCCCGGCCGUCGCCUGUGCUCGCUGGACGUGCUACGCGGCAUGCGGUUGGAGCUGGCAGGGGCGCGGCGGCGGCUCUCCGAGGGGAAGCUGGUCUCCCGGCCCCGCGCCCUCCUGCAUGGCCUCCGCGGCCACCGCGCGCUGAGCCUGUGCCCGAGCCCUGCGCAGUCCCCCAGAUCUGCAUCACCCCCGGGGCCCGCGCCCCAGCACCCCGCCGCCCCCGCGUCGCCCCCGCGGCCCUCCACGGCAGGCGCCAUCCCCCCGCUGCGGAGCCACAAGCCCACGGUAGCGUCUCUCAGCCCGUACACCUGUCUGCCACCUCUUGGGGGGGCACCCCAACCUCUCAACCCCCACAAGUCACACCCUGAUACUGCGGCUGACCUGCUGUCCGCCCUGAGCCAGGAGGAGCAAGACCUCAUUGGGCCAGUGGUCGCCCUGGGAUAUCCCCUGCGAAGGGCCAUCAUAGCUCUGCAGAAGACAGGGAGGCAGAGCCUGAGUCAGAGUUCACUCUAUUGGAAGUAUGGCGGAGACUCAUGAUGACACUCCAAGGACAGCACUCUGAGCCACGCUACUAUUUGGAAGCAGGUCUUGACCCCUGAUACAAGCCAAGAAUGUAAGAGCACCUACAGAGGAGUGAGGGCCCCCAAAGUGCCUAAAAAGAGGUGCUAGUGGCAAGAUACCUGGGAGAAGAAGUGGUAUGAGUGUUAUAGGGGUGUUUCUGUCAUCUCUUUCUGUGUAACAAACUACCCCGAAACUUAGUGGCAUGAGACAACCAUUUAUUUGCUUAUGAUUCUCUGGAUUGGCAGUUUUAAGGUGGACUCAGCUAGGGGGUUCUUCUGCUCAUCUCACCUGCAGUCUCAUGUGGCUACAGUUUGGUGACUUACUUGGGGCUGAAUGAUCUAAGAUGGCCUCAUUCACUGUACAGUGGGUGGUGAUACUUGUCAGCUGGGCCACAUAUCUCCAGCAAGCCACCCUACUUGGUUCCAAGAGUAAGGCCUCUUGAGGCCUCUUGAGGCCUUGGCUGAAAUUGUACAUAGUCACUUCCACCUCAUUCUAUUGGUCAAAGCAUGUUGUUGACCCCUCCAGGCUUACACAGGGGAAAAACAGAUUCCACCUCUUGGUGGGAGAGGGUGCAAAAAAUUUUAUGAUCAUUCUCAGUCUACCAUAAGAAGGUUCCAGUGAUCAAGAAAGGCUUCAUGGAGAUACCAAGCAUUGAGCGGGACUUCAAGGAUGGAUAAGAUCUGAUGCUGAAGGAAGGAGAAGGGGUGAUAUUCCAGGAGGGAAGGACAGUGUGACUAAAGGAGUGGAGGUGGGAAGGAAGUGUUUGGGAGGCCCUGAUCUGACCAGUCUUGUUGAGGAGAGGGUGCAUGAGGCAGGCUGGUAGGAGAUGAGAAAAAGAGAAUUGGGGGUAGAUUUAGGGGUCUUGAAGGCUGGCCUGAGAAUUUGAUAAAUGACCCAAUAGGCAAAAGGAGGCACGGAAGGAUUGUAAGUAGGGUCAGGAGGUAACAUUGAAUGCCAUUGCUUACACCCCAUGUCCCCACCUGAAAGUAACAUCCUUCGUUGUGUGGUUUUCUAAACAUCGGGACUCUUCAUGGUUUGAUGGCUGGUCCCAGGGUAGUUGGUACUUUUCAUUUUUCUCCUGUUCCUGCCCCACCACCAUCAGAAGGCUUGGACACCUCCAUCAUCACUGAUGAGUACUGAAUGUUGGGUCCCUGCGGUCCAGAGCUGCCUGCUUCUGCCAGAGGGAAUGGCAGAAGGGAAGUGACUUUCAAACAGGAGCCGGGGUGGGGCUGGGCAAAUGCACCUGGUCCCCUUGCCCACCCACUCCUGCUUCUACUCUACUCUGGGUUCAUCAGUUCAUGCCCUGUCCUGGAGAAGAAUUUCCAACAUAGUGACCCCCAUGUGGCUAAAAUGGCAGGGAGGGGUGCUAACAUUUAUUGAACAUUUUCUUGCAUGAAUCUCUCUCUCUGAGGGUAUUCAGUUAGGUCUCAAUUCUGCAAGGUUGCUAUUACAUUAUGACCACUUUGCAGAUGAGGAAACUGAGGCCAGGGAAGUUCAUACAGCCAGUCAAUGGCAGCACUGGGGUUGAGGCCAGCUGGUCUGACUCUGCAUCUUGGUUGCACGAUGUCUUUUAUCUCAUUUUCUGUGUGAGAACCUCCCAGGACAGCACCACAGGCUGAUCUGAGAUUUAAGAGCAGAUCUAAAGUCACGCCUACCUUCGGAUAAUACUGAAAAGCCAGAGUCCUGGCCAAAAAGCUGGUCAGGAGGGCUGUGAGGGGCCAGGUGCACAGUGGGGCUCUGACAUGCCUCCCCAGUGCCUUCAGGCCCUGUGGUAAGGCUGAGGUCUCAGGCCAUCACUCUGGGGGUCUGAAGAUGAGUCAGAGCCAGCCUGGGGCCCUGGCCUCCCAGUGGGUGAGCUGGAAGGAUUUCACUGCAUUGGGAACAUUGUGUUUCCAGAUAUAGACUGGCCACCUGCCUGGCCCCCUGGAUCUCUGGGUGGCCUUCCCUGGUGGGCAGUCAGGAGCCAGGCCCCACGGGGUGGGUCUGAGGGGCCUUUGGAUGACUUCAUCUAUCCUCCCCCACCAAGUUAGUAUUUCUGUCUGUUCUGUGAAGUCCUGGUAACUGAACAAGCCCUUUGGGUUCAGAUUCCUUCUCCCACUGAAAGCCGCAUAUUGCAGUAAAUCCUUUUUGGCCAAGAUAAAUGACAGAUGGCCCAGGAGGAAGGGCAUCAGGUGAUAGAGACAGAACAGCUAGAAGAGUCAGGGAGAGAAGAAGAUACAAAAGAAAUUGUGCAGCACUCCUUUCCUUCCACAAGGCUUGAUGUGCCCACACUGCCUCCCUGCAGGACAGGCAUGGGUGCCAUGUGUGAGGGUCCACAGGCCAGGCCCCCUCUUUUAGCCUCAGUUUCCCAGUUCACAGGGUGGAGGAGGAAUACGUGUUUGGAACCAGUGACUUCCGGGGGCCCCCUCCGGUGGCCUUAAGGUGACAUCCUCACCCACCUGGGGGCCUGAGGCAAGCCUGAUAGCUUCUACAGUCCUGCAGGCCCAAAAGCUAACCAAGCAGCAGAACCUUUGCAAAUGCAGACUCUCAGGGCUUAUCCUGCAGGGCCCCAGUCAGUGGAUCUGGGGUGGACCCAGGGGCCUUUAAUUUUAGAAAAUUUGCAGAUGGGUCUGAUAUUCACUGUGGCAUAGUAUAGAUCAAGGUCAGCUGUCCCCAUUCACUGAUUCUUAGUCUUGGGUGCACAUUAGAAUCACCUGGAGGGCUAUAGGGAAAAAAUUCCAAUGCUCAGGCUACACCCCAGACCAAUUAUAUCGUAACCUCUGAAGGUGAGGCCCAGACAGCAGUAAUGUUUAAAGUUCCUCAGGUGGUUGCAAUAAGCACUGAGACUGAGAACCAUUGCUAUGGACGAGCCAAAAGGUGGAGGCAGCGUCCACCAUCCAUCCUUGCCCGCCCUCCUUCUGAAGGUGAAGCUUUCACCUUUGGAAACCCUGUCAUCCACCAAGACAGCUCAAAGCCCGUCCUCUAGCAGCUGAUCCCUCUGAUGGACAAGGCAUUAAAUGACAGGUUACAUAAUCGGGGACCUAGUCCUGGGACCCUGGACAAGGCAUCUGCCUUGCCUGAACCUCAGUUUCCUCAACUGUGGAAGGAGGGCAUGGGUGCCUGGUUUUCAAAACGUGCUCAGAGCAGGUCUAGCUGUACUGGGCAGUACCUCGGCCAGGAGCACUGGACUCCGGGCCCCCAUGCCCCUGGCCCUGGUUCUCCCAGAGCAGCUCUAAUCUUAGCCUGUUAUUGCUGAAGCCUCCUUGUGCUAAGACAAACACUUCAGGAGCCAAAAACAAUUUGACAACUGUUAGUCUAGAUGAUGUGCACUUUCAUCCCAGCUCUGAAGGUCUACGGAAACCCCACUCUCCCUUCUCCACAUAUACUCAUAAUUCCUGUAGUCUGGAGCCUUCAUUUGGCACCUACACCCCAUAAAUCCUGCUUUGAUUUGCCUGGCACUGAUGUGGUCCUGUAUCUGGUUUAUCUCCCCCACUAAGCUGUGAGUUCCUUGAAGGCAGGUCUUCAUUCAUUUUAUAAACACAGCACACAUUUAUUGAGCUCCUUCUGCCACCAUGCUGGAUGAUGGGGACACUGUGGUGAAUGAGACUGACACAGCCCCUCCCUCAUGGAGCAAAAACUUCGUGGAUGAGAAAGAUUGAGUGAAGCAAUUACAAAGUUAUAUGUGCUGUAACAGGGAAGCAUAGGGUGCUAUGGGGGCACAAGGGACGGGACCCAGGAAGAUAGAGGGGGCAGGAAGCUUCCCAGGGACAGGGAAGGAGGCCAGCCUUGGCUGAGGGAGCUGCAUCUGCAGAGACCUGGAGGGUGAGGGAGGGGCCAAGGCCAUAGACAGGGAGCAGGACUUUGAGCCCUGCCUGGUAAGGAGCCAGCAUUUUAUCCUGGGCCCCUGAUGACGUAACCGUGGGGUGACCUGAACAGUUUUUCCUGCCUGUGGAAUCCUCCUCUUUGCCUACCCCACACCCCUUCUCCAGCACUGGUGCAGGAGUUGCAUAGUAGUGGCUCAGGAGUCCUGGAUGAGAGAGAUGCAUCUGGGGGUACAGUAGGGGUGCACAGGUGUGGACGGAUGAGGAGGCACCUUCACACGAAUGGGUGCUCCCAGACAGGGGUGGGUGGUGCAUGAAUGUUGAAUUGGGUUGGGUGGUAGGUGGGAUGUCUGUGUUUGAAGCCUGUCCUGCUCCCCACCUAGGUUCUAUGAACACCCUAGCCCACCCUGACAGCCCUUUUCCUGGAGUCCAGCCCCCAGCUUGGCAUAGUUGGUGAAGACCCAUUGUCUGCCUAUCGCCAGGCACUCAGAGAAAGCCUCUAUCCCCCUUCUGUGGGUUCACGGGCUCUCUGGGGCCACACUGCAGGUGGUGGCUUGCCCUGUUGCCUGGCCCUCAGCUCAGGCCCUUGGAGUGCCUCUCUGCCCUGUCUGCUGCCCUGGCUGCUCCUCUUACCCUCCCUCCCUCUCUGCCCGCUUCCGGCCCAGUUUCUCAGCUACCUCAGUGCCUGUGACCGCCUGUUACGUCAGGGAUAUGAGGAAGGCCUAGUGGACGAGGCCAUGGAGAUGUUCCAGUUCUCCGAGAGCCAGGCAGGGGAGUUCCUGCGCCUCUGGGAGC